Long non-coding RNA from Herpailurus yagouaroundi (jaguarundi), 1079 nucleotides. RefSeq lists it as uncharacterized. Lineage: Eukaryota; Metazoa; Chordata; Mammalia; Carnivora; Felidae. The transcript is spliced from 9 exons. The record is from RefSeq and is a predicted model, not a curated record.
CCCCACCAUGGUCCCAACAAAAGUCCCAAAUUUGAGUCUCAGUGAUUUAGCUGGGGUAGUGUGACCAAUGACAUCCAGGAUGUGAAGCUUCUUUCUGUUCAGUUCUAUAUUAGAUCAUAUACCACUCCAGAGGUCACAAGGUCAAGGGUGAAGUCCUACCCAAUCCUAAUGUUAUUUGUUUACAAUUACUGUACCUAUGUGUGUUUCCUCUAGUGCAGACCCGGCCUCUCUACCAUGUUUGAAUUCUGCCUUUGGAUUGCUCUUAGUAGAAAAGAAGCUGAAGAUCAAGAUGUGGAAAGAAUAGCAAAUCUCUUAGUGAAGAAACAGUCAAGAAAAUUACUGCUCUCUUAACUUAAAGAGAAACAUUAAUUAAAGAUUAUCCAAAGGUGAUACCCAUUAAGAGGAAUCCCAAAAGAAGAGAACACUCACAUGAUGACAGAAGUGCAUGCUGCUCACUUUUGAAGAAAACAUACCCCACAGAGAGGAGAACUCUACCAGUGACUCUAAAAGCCGUGUGUUCCCUGACUCUCUUAGCUUCCUGGACACAAAAGCAAGUGGCAUGUGACAUACGCUUUCUUCCAAGCCAUUGUCCAUGUUUAUAUAAUGUUUCACAACGUUGCAUCACAGUUCUGUUUGAAUCCUUGGAACCAAGGCAACAGGAAGAAUGAAUUCUGCUGAUCACCACAAAGAGACAGAAGAGGCUUUGGCCAGAAAGUUCUUUUUUUAGUUACCAAAGCUCUGGAAUAUUCACCUGCUGGAGUAUUACAUGGAUGUCAAUCGUUCAACUGUGGCUGAGGUUUACAAGAAUAGGAGAUGGAUGUCACAACUUCUGGUUUAUAUGGUGACAGCACUUUUAAUAUAUAUUUGAGGGACCAUCCUUUUCUACACUCCAUGGAGCUAUUUUCCACAACUGACCUGCCAAGUCUCGGGGGGUGCAACACCCUGAAGAUGUCAAAGCCAGACCCAACAUCUACUCGGAAGACACUGAGGAACGUAUCUCUCUAGGUAUGUCAAUUAUGGAACAACCACUGACUCUGGAAUGCUAUCAGGACCCUAGAUUAUCGAAUGGCUGCAUCUGU